AUGCGGUGGCUCGACGUGUCCGGCGUGAGGAGCAGGAUCCUGGCCACGGUGAGCAGGAGGGACGCCUUCCUCCACCGGCUCAUCGACGCCGAGCGGCGGAGGAUGGACGAGGGCGGCGCCGGCGACGAGGGCGAGAAGAAGAGCAUGAUCGCCGUGCUCCUCACUCUGCAGAAGACGGAGCCGGAGCUGUACACUGAUCAGAUGAUCAUCGCUCUGUGUGCACGCCGACGACGUGCCCCGCCUCAGCUACCUCCAGUGCAUCAUCAACGAGACGCUACGCCUGUACCCGGCGGCACCGCUGCUGCUGCCGCACGAGUCCUCCGCCGACUGCAAGGUCGGCGGCUACGACGUGCGGAGCGGCACCAUGCUGAUCGUGAACGCGUACACCCGGCUGUGUGGGAGGACCCGACGGCGUUCCGCCCGGAGCGGUUCGAGGACGGCAAGGGCGACGGGCUGCUGAUGAUGCCGUUCGGGAUGGGGCGGCGGAGGUGCCCCGGCGAGGCGCUGGCGCUGCAGACGGUCGGGGUGGUUCUCGGGACGCUGGUGCAGUGUUUCGACUGGGACCGGGUGGACGGCGUGGAGGUGGACAUGACGGAGGGGGUGGGGAUCACCAUGCCCAAGGCCGUGGCUUUGGAGGCCGUGUGUAGGCCGCGCGCGGCCAUGCGCGAUGUUCUUCAGAAGCUCUGA
RNAcentral lists this ribosomal RNA (687 nucleotides) under Triticum aestivum (bread wheat). RNAcentral's name for it is "partial small subunit ribosomal RNA". Lineage: Eukaryota; Viridiplantae; Streptophyta; Magnoliopsida; Poales; Poaceae. The record is from RNAcentral.